Molecule: long non-coding RNA, 669 nt
Filed under: Crocodylus porosus (Australian saltwater crocodile)
Lineage: Eukaryota; Metazoa; Chordata; Crocodylia; Crocodylidae
Description: lncRNA (ENSCPRG00005001056.1)
Source: RNAcentral
CUUUGAGAGUCUCUUGAGUUAAACCCCAGGGAGCAGCACCAAUGGAAGCAGAGGGGGGCAGGGACAGUACCAGUACUAAGGAGGCUUCCACCUUGCAGUUAUGAUCAAGUAGUUUAAUAUGGGUUGAUGGAACACGUUCAUAUACAGAGACGAAAUCAUUGUCAAGGAACUCCUAGAAUCUUUGUGGGGGAAGACAGAGGCAGAACAUCAGGGCAAAAUUGGAUCAGUUUGAUGACCAGGCCACAGAGUGAUGUACAUGAUUCCAUUUCCCAAAGGAAGGGAGAAAGACCCAACCACCCAGCAAGCACUGCAGAACUAGUAGACUACCCUGAGAUGAAGAACUGCUGACAUCACUCCCUUCCUCACCGGCUCAGGCACCCUCUUGGGUGUCCAAAAGAAGGAAGAAAGUCCUAGUUAUGUUGCAGAUGCAAUCAAGGCAACAGCCCUCCCUGGGCAGGUACCACUCUGAGGCUUAGGCACUGCUGAAGGGUGAUGUUUAUAGGCACCAUUCAGUACUGACUGAGGAGGGGAAGAAGGAUCUUUCUUUUCCUUUUUUGUUAAAAUUAAUUCAAUGUUGUGUUUGUUGCGGGGAUGGGGAGGAUAUGGGGUGCAGGCUUAGAAGGGACAUGGGGGAAGGUGGAGGGAUUUCCCCUGAGAACAAGGUGGGGG